RNAcentral lists this long non-coding RNA (588 nucleotides) under Cricetulus griseus (Chinese hamster). Its description in RNAcentral is "lncRNA (ENSCGRG00000024137.1)". Lineage: Eukaryota; Metazoa; Chordata; Mammalia; Rodentia; Cricetidae. The record is from RNAcentral.
AAAAUAAUGAAAUAUGGCUGGCCUUUAGGUUUCCUGGAUGAAGUCUAUUACAGCACAACUCAGCAUCUGAGGAUGUAGAGGCUGUAUAACAAGUGUUAUCACCAAACAGCGUUGGAUAAAGUCUUCAGCAGAGCAGAAGGCGAGAGGUUUGCAGCCAUGACACACAGAGCCUUCCUUGCAUUCCGGACACUCCCAGGAACCGUGAGGGGACCCCUUCUAUAAAAUUGACUCUUUGCAUCAUUCAUCUGGCAGCCAGGACCUGAGACCUAAAGCCGUUUCCCACAAACAGCGACGGGAAUAUCAAAUCCAAACUGAUCAGGAAGCAGGAUCCAGGGUAUAAAUGAUGCCACAGUUGCAAGGAAUAAUGGGUGAUAAGUUGCUGUCCAGGCAGCAUAAAUGCUCCAGGAACAUGCCACCCAUGGUUACAUGUAGCUACUGAAUCUGAAUGAAGGCAGUUCCACUAUACUUUGCGGCUUUGGCAUGGCUUCUCCAGUCCUCAGAACCGUCGGCAGUUCCUGCAACAUAAUAAUUGUUCAACAAAUGCUAUCUAAACUUUCCCCUACUCCAGUUCCCUCACUUUCCAGAUGA